GAGGAGGCGGGCCCGGCCGGCCCCCCGGGCCGUCCCCCUGUGCUCGUCCCGCCUGGCCCGGGGGACGCGGCUGCAGGCGCGGCGCGAGCGCCUGCAGGCUCGGCUCUGGGGCGCUGUCGCUGCUGCCUGUCCCCGCCCCGACCCCAGGGUUCCCUGGAGCGCUCAGAGGCCUGCUGGCCCCGCCGCUGUGCCACCCUGCGUUACCACGGGAGCCAAAACAGGUCCCAAGCCCCGGGAUCGUGGGGCUUCAGCUGUAGCGGGGAAGACAGACAGACAAGCAAGUAUCAGUCAUUGCAGUGAGUGCUAGAAGGACCGGCCCAGAGCUGACGCCAUCUACCAGAGACCUCUGUCUAUCCCCGGGUCCCAGGGGCCCGUGCAGGGAAGCGAUGUUUGAGCUGAGACUUGAAGGAGUAAGGGGGAGGAAGAGGGUCUGGUGAGGUCGGAGGAGACCCUCUACACCUUAGUAAGAUUGCUUUAUCCUUAACCGAAGAUGCAUGCAAAGCUACUGAAGGAUUUUAAGCCCAGCAAUCACCGUAAGAGCAGACAUUUAUUUGGAAUUUACAUGACUCUAAGCACUGUACAUGGAAUAACAAUGACAAUAGCAAAUCUGCUUAAUAUGUGCCAAGCACUUUGCAGAUGUGAAGUCAUUUAGUCUUCAUAGCAGCCUUUCCACCAUGUGCAAGUGUAAAAUCCUCAUUUUGCAGAAGAGGAAACUGAGGCACAGACUUGCAUUCUCCUCUGAGAAGAGCUUUACCUUCUCCCUCGUAUCUCUGUUUAUUCUUCUCUCUGAGGUCGGGGAUUCUACCACAGAGUUCUGCACUGUGCCUUACUGAAACGAGUGCUGGAUUUGCAGUAAAAAUUGAAUUUGAAUUCGACCUCUACUAGGCCUUAUAAAGCUGUGAAGUACCUACUUCAGGAUGGUACAGCUUGUUUAAAAUAUAAGGUGCCCAGAAGAAAAGGGAUCUAAAACUAAAAGUGUUUCCUCUGGCAAAAGUGCAGUGGGCCCAAGAGAAAUUCUCGCGACAGCCUGGAGAGAAUUCAGGGGAGGCUUUGUUGAGCUCCCGGAAAAGCAAACACAUAAUUAUAAUGGAGGUAAAUGGACUGAAAGCCAAGUCAAAGAGGCAGAUCGGCUUCACCAGGAGAGGCACUCACUUCUGCAAAGACAGCAGGAUAAAGAGAACUAGCCUCUCGACCUGGACAAGAGGUGCCUACAACCGUGGGCUGAAAGAGUGUGGAGAACUGUUGACACUGCAGGCAAAAAGAAUGUUAUCAAAGUUCUGUUCAAGUCAAAGGCCUGACACGGAGGCUAAGGAGAGCUCACUGCCUCAAAGAAGAGCCUGCCUGGAGAGAUUUCUUCACGCUACAAACCUCUGUAAAUGUCCUUUCAACGAUUCUGUUUAAAAAAAAAAGGAAUAACCUUAGAUCAAAGUUAGGGCAAGAGUUUCCACAACAGCGAAGCCCACAAUGCCGCAAGGGGGAGAUUAGAGUGAAAUUUUUACGUGAAAAUGUUUCAAGUAUUUAGAAGCUCUUAUGGAAGUAAAAAACACCACAAUGGACAAAUGAUGUGAAUAAAAAUUCACAGAAGAGGUAGCAGUGGCCAAUAAAUAAGAAAAAGGAGGGUUAGCUUCAUUGAUUGCAUUAAAGAAAUGCAAAAUAGGGGUUGACCCUGUGGCCUAGUGGUUAAGUUUGGUGUGCUCCGCUUAGGCUGCCUGGGUUCGUGGGUUCAGAUCCCAGGCACAGACCUACACCACUUGUCAGCCAUGCUGCGGCAGCAUCCCACAUAUAAAGUAGAGGAAGAUUGGCAUAGAUGUUAGCUCAGGGCUAAUCUUCCUCAGCAAAAAACAGAAAGAAAGAAAGAAAUACAAAAUAAAACCAAAGACAAUAUUACCUAUUAAAGUUGCAUGUUUUUAAAUAAAUAAAAGUUCUCAAUGUGGGUAGAAUGGUGGGGAAAUGAGUACUCUUCUAUCCUGUUGGUGGAAUUGUUAGAUCUUUCUAGAGGACAAUUUGGCAACAUAUAUCCAAAGCCUAAAAGAGUUUAAAUCCUCUAGCCUAAUAAUUUUAUUUCUAGGGAUUAUCCUAAACAAAUACUUAAAUUUGCAUCAAUGAUUUUUGUUCAAAGGUAUUAAUUGCAGCAAUAUAUUUAAGAAUGAAAAUUUGGAAAACACACAGCUGGUGAAUAGUUAAUAAAAAAAAUACACUAGAAUAUUGGGUAACCAAAAAAACUUAUUAUAAAAUUUAAAUUUACUUAAAGAAGCAAUGUAUGCACACUAUAAGAUUUUUUAACUCUCUGAAGGUAAUAGCCACUGUUAAUAGUUUCUUUUGUUUCUUCAAGAAGUCUUUUUUAAGACAUUUUUGAUCUAUACAUUUGCUAUUUACAUCUAUCUGUGUAUAUACUAUCUCUAUAUCUAUCUAUCUAUCUAUUUAUCUAUCUAUCUACCUGGCCCACUGCUUGUCUUUGUAAAUAAAAUUUUAUUAGAACCCAAUCACAGCCAUUUGUUUAUGUGCUGUCUAUGGCAACAUUCCAGUUGCAAUGGCAGAGUUGAAUAGUUGUGGCAGAGACCAUAAGGCUAAAAAUAUGUAAUAUCUGACUGUUUACAGAAAGUUUGCCAACCCCUGCACAAUACCCUGAUUAGCAUGUGAGCUCAGUGAGCUUUUUGUCUGCCUUGUUUGCUGUUGUAUUCCCAACGCCUAGAACAGUGCCUGGCACAUUGUAGGUGCUUACUAAAUAUUUGUCUGAUGAAUGCAUAGGAUCAGUUGCUCCUGUUAAUGUACAUUCAUGUGGUUUCUACAUUUAGUGGGUAUUUUAGUAUUACAAAUAAUGCUGUAAUGAAGACAGAUCUUUGCUUACUUCUCCAAUUAUAUCAGAAACAGUAUUUUGAAAAAUAUUUAGUGAC
RNAcentral lists this long non-coding RNA (2894 nucleotides) under Equus caballus (horse). Its description in RNAcentral is "lncRNA (ENSECAG00000054372.1)". The record is from RNAcentral. Lineage: Eukaryota; Metazoa; Chordata; Mammalia; Perissodactyla; Equidae.